RNAcentral lists this ribosomal RNA (188 nucleotides) under Bacillus sp. enrichment culture DGGE gel band Bjl-1h-4. RNAcentral describes it as "partial 16S ribosomal RNA". It matches the Rfam family "Bacterial small subunit ribosomal RNA", at positions 344 to 524 of the family's 1533-position model. Lineage: Bacteria; Bacillati; Bacillota; Bacilli; Caryophanales; Bacillaceae. The record is from RNAcentral.
GGAGGCAGCAGUAGGGAAUCUUCCGCAAUGGGCGAAAGCCUGACGGAGCAAUGCCGCGUGAGUGAUGAAGGUUUUCGGAUCGUAAAGCUCUGUUGCCAGGGAAGAACGCUUGGGAGAGUAACUGCUCUCAAGGUGACGGUACCUGAGAAGAAAGCCCCGGCUAACUACGUGCCAGCAGCCGCGGUAAU